This 406-nucleotide ribosomal RNA is filed under the name Staphylococcus pseudintermedius. Its description in RNAcentral is "bacterial SSU rRNA". It matches the Rfam family "Bacterial small subunit ribosomal RNA", at positions 161 to 554 of the family's 1533-position model. Lineage: Bacteria; Bacillati; Bacillota; Bacilli; Caryophanales; Staphylococcaceae. The record is from RNAcentral.
GGCUAAUGCCGGAUAACAUGUUGAACCGCAUGGUUCUACAGUGAAAGACGGUCUUGCUGUCACUUAUAGAUGGACCCGCGCCGUAUUAGCUAGUUGGUGGGGUAACGGCCUACCAAGGCGACGAUACGUAGCCGACCUGAGAGGGUGAUCGGCCACACUGGAACUGAGACACGGUCCAGACUCCUACGGGAGGCAGCAGUAGGGAAUCUUCCGCAAUGGGCGAAAGCCUGACGGAGCAACGCCGCGUGAGUGAUGAAGGUCUUCGGAUCGUAAAGCUCUGUUGUUAGGGAAGAACAAAUGUGUAAGUAACUGUGCACAUCUUGACGGUACCUAACCAGAAAGCCACGGCUAACUACGUGCCAGCAGCCGCGGUAAUACGUAGGUGGCAAGCGUUAUCCGGAAUUAU